Small nuclear RNA from Hyaena hyaena (striped hyena), 108 nucleotides. NCBI's taxonomy places the organism in Eukaryota, Metazoa, Chordata, Mammalia, Carnivora, Hyaenidae. The record is from RefSeq and is a predicted model, not a curated record.
GUACUCACUACAGCAGUAUAUAUACCAAAAUCGGAAUGGUACAGAGAACAUGAGCAUGGCCUCUGUGCAAGGAUGACCAAACAAAUAAGUUUGGUGCUAUAAUUAUUG